GUUGAGGUCUAUCCUGAUGGGUUUUUUUUUUUUUUUUUUUCCUGCAGACCCACAUCAUUGGAGAUGCCUCGUCAAAUAACUAUGUUGUUUGUUUUACUCAUGGAAUUUAUUUGUUUGGUCUGUGGAAAAGAACUAUAAGAUGUAG
Molecule: small nucleolar RNA, 145 nt
Organism: Lynx canadensis (Canada lynx)
Lineage: Eukaryota; Metazoa; Chordata; Mammalia; Carnivora; Felidae
Source: Ensembl